UGGCUCAGUUGGUAGAGCAUGGUGUUUGCAAUGCCAGGGUUGUGGGUUCCAUUCCCAC
RNAcentral lists this transfer RNA (58 nucleotides) under Salmo salar (Atlantic salmon). It matches the Rfam family "tRNA", at positions 8 to 63 of the family's 71-position model. From Rfam's summary of the family: Transfer RNA (tRNA) molecules are approximately 80 nucleotides in length. Their secondary structure includes four short double-helical elements and three loops (D, anti-codon, and T loops). The record is from Rfam by way of RNAcentral. Lineage: Eukaryota; Metazoa; Chordata; Actinopteri; Salmoniformes; Salmonidae. RNAcentral also lists the same sequence under 1 other name.